Molecule: small nucleolar RNA, 75 nt
Organism: Equus asinus (donkey)
Lineage: Eukaryota; Metazoa; Chordata; Mammalia; Perissodactyla; Equidae
Source: Ensembl
UGGAUUAAUGAGGACAACUCUUUGCAUCUGAGUCUUGGAUGAUGAGCACUACAGGUCUGGAAUGCCGAGAUCAAA